This 8958-nucleotide long non-coding RNA is filed under the name Capsicum annuum. RNAcentral's name for it is "long non-coding RNA (CANN_LNC011694)". The record is from RNAcentral. Lineage: Eukaryota; Viridiplantae; Streptophyta; Magnoliopsida; Solanales; Solanaceae.
GGGGAUGACUCGACUAAAAUGUACGUCUUAUAGGAAUCAAGGGGGAUGACUCGACUAAAAGGUACGUCUUGUAGGAAUCAAAGAAAAUUACUCGACUAAAAGGUACGUCUUAUAGGAAUCAAGGGAGAUGACUCGACUAAAAGGUACGUCUUAUAGGAAUCAAGGGGGAUGACUCGACUAAAAGGUACUAGCAAAUGAAAACUGAAAUCCCUGGAUAAGUGUGUCUCCGAGGGAUAUGGGAUGAUGAAUUUUUACCAUAAUUUUACUAUCAAACCUGUGCAGCAAUAUUGCUUCCGACAUUUGUAAAAGUGAGGCAUUGCAGCCCUUGAUGUUUAUGCUUUGAAGUCCCUGCGUUGAAGGCAAUAUGUUUCCUGUUUCAUUAAAGCAAACUUGUGAGUUUAAAACACGGUGACUGGUUUGUGGCUUUAGCUUUUGCGGCGAUUGUUCUUGCCUCAUCACAUUUAACCUUGCUUCCAACCGUUAGCAUGCAUCAUUGAUUUGCUGCAUCAUUGACCCAAACUCAGGUUAUUAAGAGUGACUCUAAAACAAACACAUUAUUUCUGCUUUGCUAUGUUUCUCAGAUAAACCCUUUGCGCCUAGGUAUUUCCAUGGGUUCCCAGACUUGUCUAUUGAAAAAACUUUCUUCAUGUCCUUUUUCGACUCACAAUCAUGUCUCUUUCAUGUGCUGGCUAUUGUCUUGCUUUGUGUAAUUAAAGAAGCUGGUAGCCAGUUUUGAAAUCUUUUCUCACUUAUUUUUUAUGCGGACUUGACUCAAAGACAAGAGAAAAAAUAACAAUGAUUUUUGGAUAACUGACUCAAGAAAAUAAAAUGAAAAUAAAAUAAAAAUAAAAUAAAGAAAGGAAAGAAAAGACCAUAAAUGUCCCUAUUUGAAACAAAGAAAUGAAAAAUUUAUCUAAAAAUGACAAUCAACUCUAAUGAUUAUGCCUGCAUUUUGAAUUAAUCUGCCUGAUCUUUUCAUCCAUACUUUCACCAAUUGUUGUUGAGUUAAUGGCCUUGAAAAAUGAGUUUCUUCAUUUGGUCAAUUGCGUUUAAGACCUAAUUCGGCUAGUGACACCUUGAAGGGUUUUCGCCAACAAGCCAUUCAUUCUCUUUCUCUCAAUCAACAUUGCCUGAUGGUGCCCGUGAGGGUUUUCACCAAUAAGGCUCUCUCAUUUUUAUUUCUCUCAAUUUACCAUUAUCUUACGGUGGCCGAAAGGGUUUUCACCAAUAAGACUCUCUCAUUUGUAUUUCUCUCAUGAUUUUUUAUGCUGAGGAAAACAAGUAGUACCCAAAAUGCUGCAUCAUAUCCGUUGCAUGCUCAAAAAUUGAUCUGAAGGUCUUUCUUUGGUUGUAACUUGACUUUUGGAUACGAUUAGAAAGAAAGGAUAACAUGAGGCUCAAACAACUUGAAGUGGGGUAGGACUUACAACUUUUGGAAUUGACUCAAACAAUGAGGAUUAACUCAUGCCCCAGUUUCUUUUGACUAUGUAAUUCUAAAUUAUUUAUUUGGGUAGACUGAGCCCAGAGUAGGCUAGCGUACGUAUCUCACCCCCGAGAGAGAAGAAUCAGGUCACGCGUAGUUCUGACAGCUUGUUCUUUUGCUUGAUUUUGACUUCCCUUUUUAUUCCAUUGACUUUUAUUGACUCUUUUCUUUUUGGGAUUUUUUUUUCGACUCUUUUUUCUUGACACUCUUUUUUUCUCUUUUUGGACACAUUUUUUCUCUCUUCUCUUUUUUUUUUGAAACUUUCUAACUCUAUUCUUUUGCUCGACACUUUUCUUUUGAAUUUUACUGACUCUAUCCUGAUUCUAAAAGAGGGGUAUGAAAGAAAAUAGAAAUAGGCUCAAAUGGGGUAAACAAAGGAUGACACAAUGUUUGGAUAUUAGAAUGAAAUGCCUUCAUCAUAUCAAUCCUUGAAAAUGUAAGUACAUAUCAUGCAAUAUGAAAUAAAAAAUAAAGAUCAUUUGUGACACUUUAACAACACUAACUUCAACUGAGCAUGUGUGCCCAUUCUUCUUCUACCCUUGUCAAACAUACAACUCCACUUUCGUUGUACAUUCCUCAUGCUGAAGGACUCAUGACUUCGUGGAGCUGAUUUUCUUUCUGUUCCUUUUGACAUAGGAUCGCACAUUCACUACUUGACCUAAUUGAGAUGUGUCUUUCAAUUGAUGACCAAGUUCUCACGAUUCUCAAAAUAAUUGCCUUAAUUUUCAAAGAGGCUUCAACUUGAUCACCAAAUGCCCUAACACUCUAUCCAUUUUCUCAGAUGCUCUCUUUUUCUAAUUUUAAUCCUCUAAUUCAAUGUUCAUGCUUAAACUGAAUUUUAAGAUCUGGCUGAAAGUUCCACAAACAUGUCAUAUCACUAGAGUCAACAUAAAAUGUACUGUAUAAAGAAAACAAACAAACAAAACAUAUUUUAGAACACAAAGGUAAAGAGACAAUUCAUUUAGUUGAAAUAAAAGAUAGAAGGGUUUGAACAUGAAUGACAAAAGGACAAAACAAGAUAGAUCCCGAACUACAAUCCUAAAAUAAUUUGAAAAACAGAAAAAAAAAAAAACUACCAGACCUUUUCCUAGUAAGGAGAGAGGUGACUUCUCAAUUGCUCAGCCUGACAACUUAGUCACUGGUUUGCAUAUCAGCAUGAUUAGAGCUUCCCUCACUGUUAAUGUUCUGCACCAUAAUUGAUCCAUCUUGAAUUAUCUUUUCAAUUUCUCUUUUCAAAUCUCGACAAUCUCCAAUACUAUGACCCUGAGCAUCAGAAUGAUACGCACAUCGUGUAUUAGGAUCAAAAUUUCUUGAACUUCGAUUAAGAGUGUUCCUAAGGAGAGGAGUAAUCAUGCCCCUCUUUCUCAAUCUCUGGAACAAACAGGCAUAAGAUUCUCCAAUAGGAGUGAAAUUAUCAUUUUCCUUCCUCAUUUUUACGAACUCUGGCCUCGGAUAAAACAUGGAUUUAGAGGUUCCUUGGUAAAUUUGUGUGGGUCGAGGAUGACGUUGAUGGACAGGUGCAUGUCAUUGUGGAUAACAAGACGGAUGGGUAAACAAUUAUGCAUUAUUCAAAGAACAUUGAGGAAGUGGAAUGAAACUCCUUGGAUUUUGAAAAGAGGAACCUUGUUGCAGAUGAGUAAGUGGAUUUGAUAUGUAAGCUGGGGAUUGAAGCUGACAGUAUUGGUGAGUUGGGCCUCUUAAACUCUGCUUUGGCCCUGGCACGACAAUAGGUGCGUUUUCCUUCUUCUUUCCUUCAGUUUUCCUCGAUCGAUUGCAAUAUCGUCCCAAAUGUUUCACAGAAUCAUUUUGUCCAUCAAGCUCCUCAAAUUUUGAUAUCUCAAAGCUUGGAGGAAGGCUAACACUUAAAAACAUGCCCCAGUUUUUAUAUAAAACAUCUUUAUAGCCCACAAGUCCCAAGGAACUUUUCAUGUCAUUUUUUACACUCUUAACUUUCCCAACCAUUUUCUCUGGCUCUUCUAGCAUCCUAGCCUUCUUAGUAAGAAAUUUUGGCGGUCCACUUAACUUAACUGUAGGCUCAAGAGUAUAACAAUGAUCACCAAGAGUAUUGGAUGUGGAUUCACUAGUGGACUGGGGAAGCACAAUCAUUGGAUUGAUAGCCAAAGUGGAAGCCUUAGUAGAAGGUUGAGCAACAAAAACACAGACGGCAUGUGGUGCUGUGAAUAUGGUAGACUUAUACUGAGGAGCUAAAGAAAGAGUGGUGGAAGUAUUGAGGUGCAUUUGACGUGGAAUGGAUUCUGAGGCAUGCUGUGGUGCAUCAACAACAGUAGGAAACUGACUUUACGAUUUUGGUGGAAAACUCAAGGUAUUUGUAAGGUCAAAAGUGGGGAAUGGGGGUGGAGGCAGCCCACUGGCCCAAGAUCAGUGCAUUUCAUUCAUUUGUUGUCUUAGUCUCAAAUUCUCUUCCUUUAAACUCUCAAUUUCCUGACUCAUUGUUUCAUCCAUGAUGCCACUCUUUAUAUCCUUAUUGGACACAACUAACCCUUUCUUGAAUUUGGUGUGAUAUGGAGGACCAGACAGGAAGCCACAGACCAACCACCUUAAACUAACUGAACAAGAGGCAACAAAUAUGUUAAAGUUCAACAUUUUUUAUUCAAAACCUUUUUUUCUUUUAGAAAAGAUCACCGAACCCAAAAAGGGUGCUUACAUAUCUCACUCCCGAAAGAGGAGAAUCAGGUGUGUGUAGUUCGUGAAGCCUUGCCAAAAUGACCAAUUAAACUCUUUUUCUUUUUCUUUUUCUUGAAAUUUUAAGAAGAAAAGAAAAAUGACAAAUUAUCAAAAGAAUAGACGAAAAUCUUUUUGAAUUUUUUUCAGCUUUAAUAGCCUAUACAAAAUGAAAACGAUGAUUACCAAAGAAACUCCUUUUUUUGGGUUUUCAAUUUUGCAUUUCAUACGAAAAUGAAACUUGAACCUAUUAAAGGAAAUUUUUUUUGUACUUUUCUUUUAUUGAUGCAUAUGACACCUUCUCUAAAUGAAGAGUGAAGAAAAAUAUUUUUGAAUUUUUGAAAUAAGAUCCGCAAACCAACAAUAGGCUGUCUACGUAUCUCACUUCCGCGACGCGUAGUUCGUCCAGAUUGGACAAUUAAGGAUUAAAUGACAAACUAAACCCUGAAUUGAGAGACACAACUAAAGAUAGACGAUGAAAAUAAAAUCUUUUUUGGGGAUUUUCAAUUUGACACUUCACAUAAAACUGACACCAACAACUAUGAAAGAGAAAGAAUCUUUUUGGUAUUUUCGCUAUAUGAAAUGUACAAAACUUUUCUCAUCUUUUUUAUCUUUGUUUUAUAAAAAGCUCUUAUAAAAAAAUCUUUUUUUGAAUUUUUUGAAUUGUGAAUGCAUGGUAAAGGAACAAAAGGAAACUCUUUUUGAUGUUUUUGAGAAAAUGCGUGAAAAAGGUAAGAAAAUCUUUUUGAAUUUUUGGAUUGUGAAAAAUAAAAUCCAUAAAGAAAUCUAAAAAAAACUACGAAACUCUUUUUCUUUCAUCAUUCUUUUUUUUUCAUGCCUACACACCUUUCUUUAAUUCUAGCACAUGCUUUGCCCAAAAUCAGUCUGUCAAAUAACCACGUUGCCCUCAAAGAUGCAACAUUUAGCAUGUAAGGAUACUUUAGAGGCGAGUCUCCUACAGAGGGCCAAGUGGACCCCGCUUGGUCUUCAAUAUGAUGCACAUAAGCAUGACUUAAAGACUGACCUACGUUAGGGUUCACUAACAAGGCUGUUCGAGAGAGCGUAUGGUCGAUAGUGACUGCUUUGCUUUCUACCUACUCCAUAACACCGACGGUUCCCCCCUAAAAUAAGGGUGACUCAACUAGAGGUCGUGUACAACACGUGUACUACGGACUUGUCGCAGAAAGAAUGACUUGGGUUAUGCACAUGAUGCCAGAUAUAAAGCGGUAACACAUAAAAUAAAAACUGUAAACAAAGAGAACGUGGGCACUCAACAGUGAUAAUACAAUAACACAAAAUAACACAAACAAAUUGUCCAUACACCUAUAGUGCCAAACUAAGCCGAUACAACUCCAAAAUAAGCUCGAAUUCUAAAAUAGUCCCCAGCAGAGUCGCCAGAGCUUUCAAACCCUUUUUUUUAACCGAAAAAAAUUAGAUUAAGGGUCGAAAGGGUUUUUAUUAUUAAAGUGACAAAAGAAUAAAAAUUUAUUUCGAAAAAAAAAUUAUUUAUAUUUUUUAUUCAGAGUCGUAACUUGGCAUAAUUUGGUGUGCCAAGUCACCUUUGAAAAAUUCUUUUCAAGACGUUUUGACUCUAAAACUGAUCUACGAACAGAGAUUCCGACUAAGAAAUUCUAUUAACCGAGGGGAAGGUGUUAGGCACCCCUCGAUCCCAUGGUUCGACCACAGUCGCUUAGUGAAAUAUAUCGGCUAAUCUAACACUAUGGAUGUAUAAACCACACAAAACACAUAAAAACAACCAAUCAAACACGCGAAACAAAACAAAUCCAAAAUAUAAUGUUCAGUCCAAUUAUUACAAACUGAAGUAAAAAAGUACUGAAAAGUAAACCUACGCUAAUCCUAAACUAUGCUCCAAUGCUUUACCCUGUGCCUCGGGCCUUCAACACGAACCUCCUUUGUGUACAUGAUACGUCGGGGCAUUCUCCGAUAAAUAAGUACAAAAGGUCCUGAGGCAUCCCUCGGCAAAAUAAAUACAUCUUUUCAAUGCGACAAAAUCAAACCAUUCAACAAAAUUUCAAACAUUCAACAAAACCACAAAUUCUAAACUUUGCCUACCCAACCUACGUUUGCCUAUCCAUUUCAACAUAUUAUGCUACUAUCAAGUUUGAUUAGCGUUCAUUUCAAGUCAAAAAAUAACUCAUGAAUCAAACCAACCAAAAUUAACAUUUUUAUCAAGUGUUGGUUCUCAUUCCACUCAUCCCCAAACAACCAAUUUUAAUUCUCAAACGCAAAAUACUAUUUCACCAUGCAGUUCAUAAUCAACGGAAUCAAUCAAUGAAUCAAAAACCAAGCAAUUAUUCACCAUUGACAAAGCUCAAACAACACACAACGUCCAAACCAUAACACCGAAUAUUAUGACCAAGGAAAUAAUAAGUAAAAAGCAAAGAUUGGAAAUGGACCUCAAAUUUGACGUAUUAUUUCAAUUGAACUGUUUGACGGAGCGGUGCCGGAAUAUCUUGAACAGAAAUUCCCCAACAACGAACUCCCGACUUCAAUAACCCAAAAUCCGAACUGACUUGAACAAAAUUGACCGACCCGUUUCACACAAAACGAAACUCAGACCCAAUUCUCGAUGAAGAACUGAGAACCUCGACAAAUCGACUCCGGUGAGCUAACAGUGAAAGAAACUGACUGAAAUAGGCUGGAUUUCGGUGAGUUAUGGGUGGAUUAACGUUUUUCUGGCGAGUAGAUCUCCGGAACAGUGACUAGCGAUCCAAAAUUUCGUUCCUUCCCACAGUUUUUUCUACUUCUUUCUCUCACAGUUUUUCUGUAGCGUUCUCGAAUCUCUCUGUGUAGUGUGUGUUUUCCGUCUAGCUCUGUGUGUGUGCGUCCGUGGUGGAUGGGUGGAAUGUGAGAGUGAUGGUGGGUGGAGAGUAUGUGAGUGUAUGUUGCCUUCUUUAAUUUUUUUUUUUUUUUUGGUUUUAAUGGAACAUCAAGCUGUGUUGGAAUGUCCGAAUGUUCAUCCAUAGAGGAUUUUAUGUGUAAUCUGUGGGUUGAUGGUGAGAGCCAGAAAAAGGAAAAAAAAAUGGAGGUCUGUGUAUGAUUGUUUUCGUGAGUCCGAAUGUGAUGAUGAUGAUGGAUUGGAAAAAGAAAAGAAGAUGGUUCUUUUUCUUUCACUGUGGGCCCUCCUGGAAAUUGUUGCCUUCCUCCCUCUAUAUUCUGUCUGUGUAUUUGUUAUAUAUAGAAAAAUGCAUAUAAAGUCAUGGUAUGUGUAUACGUGUGGGACCUCUUGUGCCAAUUGUUGUUGAGUGCAAAUUGAAGUCGGUAUGCAUUUGUAACUUGGAACGGUGAGGUGUCCAUUCUGUUAAGAAACCAAGACAAUCUAAAUUGAGGAGGGUGUAGGGUCCAUGUGGAUAGGGGUAGGUUAGGUUGUUAAGAUUGCAGAGGGUGUUGAGAUUUAAUUAGUUGAGUAGUUAGUUUGUUAUUUUUUGUAUUUUUGUGAAAUAUAAACACAUGUAUGAGAAUAUAUAAUAAUAAAAAUCCCUUCGCCAUCAACUUUUCUUGCUCAAUUUAGACCUCAAAGCACUCCAGCCCCUCUGCUACUUCCGAGAAAGGUGAAAGGAAUGAAGAACCAUCGGAUUUGAGGUUGUUAUUCCCUUCCAAGUCUUCCACCAUAAAGUAGCCCUUUUCCCCUUUUUUACAUCAACCUAAAAAGAUGAAAAAUCAGUCUCUUCUCUGCCUCCAAUUUCUUUUCUCUAAUUUAGAGCCUUUCCAAGAAUUCAAAUUUGAAUUCUUGAAGCCCUAUUGAGAGCCGUUGCAGCACUCUCAAAUUCAUCUAUAAAAGGAGCCCCUAGGCUCCCAUUUUUAAGAGGCAAGAAUCAAGAAUCAUCCGAAUUAUAAAAAAACUAACACCAAAUAGUAGUUCAUACUACUAUUUCCUCUUUAUUCUCUUGCUCUCUUGUCGAGUUUGAAGUUCAGAUUCGAGUUUAAAUCUUUGACGAGCAAGUCCUAAUUCGCUGCUCCAUAUAAGGUCUAUAAUCACAUUCACCUCUCGUUUUGUUUCGGUUCCUUGAAACAAAAAUGUAGUCAUUCAAUAGUCUUUUUUGCUUUAUUGAAAUUCUGCUAUUUGGAUGUGUUUGUGUUUCAUUGUUUGUUGUAGUUUCAGUUUGUAAAAAAUGGUUGAAUAAUCUAGACAACACCAUUUUAGCUCGAGAAGUCAAGUUUCUUUUCUAAAAUGUAGAACUUCUAUUUAUGUCCUUGUGCGGAAAAAUGGCACUGAAUGAAAAGUUUAACUAAGAAUAUGUUUGGUUUUGCUCUUCGCCUUGCAGUAUCUUCAUUGUGAGUCUCAUACGAAUCUAUUUAUUUUUUGUGUCCAAGAAUCUGUCAGUCUUUUUAGUUUUAAAUCAGUAAUGAAAGAUUGUCAAAAUACUAAUAUGGCUCCAGCAUUUAGAGUUUUGGCCUCAUUCACUAUUUGCACAGUGUUCUGGUUUGUUUAGAUAAAGGAUAAGAGACUCAUAAUUUCUUUUAAAAAUAAAAGUUAAAUCGGAGCUUGGUUUCUGCUCUUGUUGUUUAUGUUUUUGAGUAAAUGGGAGAAGAGUUUUGAUAUGGAUUAAGUGAGGGCAGUCCCCUUCUUGUCAUUUUGUUUAUCAGAAGUUUCAGCACAUGCUCGGUGUCAUUUGAAUAGGGGUACCUAUGUUGACCAUUGUUCUUUACUGUAGGCUGCUCACUUUCUAUAAGAUCAAGCUAAAAAUGUGUAUUUUGAUUCAAUCUUUGUCUAAGAUUUACAAAUUCCUUGCUUAUAGGUCUCGCAAAAAAUCUGUUUCCUUUCAGUCGGC